UGGACCUGAGCUCAGGCAAGACUACCCGCUGAACUUAAGCAUAUCAAUAAGCGGAGGAAAAGAAACCAACCAGGAUUCCCUUAGUAACGGCGAGCGAACCGGGAACAGCCCAGCGUGUCAAUCUGGCCUUUCGGGGUCCGAGUUGUGGUCUGGAGGGCGGCGCUCCGCGCGGUCCGAUCGCCAAGUCCGCUGGAAAGCGGCGUCGUAGAGGGUGACAACCCCGUGGGCGAUCGGCUUCCGCGCUUCUCGAGCCCGUUCCGCGGAGUCGGGUUGCUUGGGAAUGCAGCUCUAAGCCGGUGGUAAAUCCCAUCGAAGGCUAAAUAUCGGCGGGAGACCGAUAGC
This 342-nucleotide ribosomal RNA is filed under the name Prototheca ciferrii. RNAcentral describes it as "partial 28S ribosomal RNA". It matches the Rfam family "Eukaryotic large subunit ribosomal RNA", at positions 1 to 341 of the family's 3401-position model. Lineage: Eukaryota; Viridiplantae; Chlorophyta; Trebouxiophyceae; Chlorellales; Chlorellaceae. The record is from RNAcentral.